Molecule: ribosomal RNA, 252 nt
Filed under: uncultured bacterium
Lineage: Bacteria
Description: partial 16S ribosomal RNA
Rfam family: Bacterial small subunit ribosomal RNA
Source: RNAcentral
GCAAAGUCGUGAGGCGGAGCAAAUCACAAAACAACAGUCUCAGUUCAGAUUGUAGGCUGAAACUCGCCUAUAUGAAGUCGGAAUUGCUAGUAAUCGCGGAUCAGCAUGCCGCGGUGAAUACGUUCCCGGGCCUUGUACACACCGCCCGUCACACCAUGAGAGUCGAUAACACCCGAAGCCUGUAGUCUAACCUUAGGGGGGACGCAGUCGAAGGUGGGAUUGAUAAUUAGGGUGAAGUCGUAACAAGGUAAC